Capsicum annuum is the source of this 1435-nucleotide long non-coding RNA. RefSeq lists it as uncharacterized. The transcript is spliced from 2 exons. The record is from RefSeq and is a predicted model, not a curated record. NCBI's taxonomy places the organism in Eukaryota, Viridiplantae, Streptophyta, Magnoliopsida, Solanales, Solanaceae.
AUUUCAAGCAUUGUUACCAAAACCUAGUUUUGAUUGUGAGAAAUAAAAGGAUUUUGUAUUCCACCUUUCAAAAAUUGAAACUAUUUCAAGUUUUUUAUGGGACUUAAAUGAUUCAUAUAGACAAGCUAGGAGUCAAAUACUUAUGAUGAGAUCUUGCCAUCUGUGAACAAGGCCUAUGCUAUGAUACUUGGUGAUGAAAGCCAAAGAAUGUUGCAGCUACUGCAGGAAUACUAGGUCCUAAUCUUGAAAAAUGUUAAUCUAGAUAUGGUAAUGUAUUCUAGAAAUCACGGUAAUAGGAGUUCCAAUAGUGGUAGUAAUGUGAACUUUCAGAAGUAUAACAGUGGAUCUGGGACUAGUUCUUAUCAGAAGUUCAAGAAAAUCUCUUCUGUGAUUUUUGCAAGAACAAAGGACAUAGUUGGCUAUCUCAAGAAGAAAGGUUUUGGGUCAAAUUGCCAUAAUGCUGCUUACAAUAUGUCAAGCACUGGUUAUUCUGAAAAUUACACUUAGUAUACUAAUCAGCCUAGUACUUCUAAUGCACCACCAAGUAGAUCCAGACAACUGAUUCAAGAACAAGAGCAUGAUGAGCUGACGAGUAAUAAGCAAAACUUCAACAAUGACUACUCAUGCAAUCAAAAUGGUGUUUAUGCUAGUCCUUUCACUAAAAGUCAAUAUGAGCAAAUUGUGCAACUAUUGAAUCAGACACCUAAUAACCUGACAAGUGAGAAGGCUCAUGCUAGCACCUCAGCUGGCAACUGAUGAGCUCUAGAGUGGAUCAUAGAUACAGGAGUCACAAAUCAUAUGGCUUCUGAUCUUGACCUCUUAAAUAUAGACACUGUCAACAAGUUAAUGGAGAUUUUUCCUUAGUAACUCAUAUUGAAAAUAACUCUUUCAGACACUAGUACUAUAUCAGAUGUGUUUUAUGUUUCAUAGUUUCAAUAAAAUUUGCUAUCAGUACCAAAACUAACAAAGGAACUGCAGUGUUUUGCUUAUUUUUUUCCUGACUUUUGUAUUUUUCAGGAUCUCCUCACUGGGAGAGUGAAGGAGACUAGUAAGCUUAAAGGUGGACUACACAUGCCAAGGAAUCAAUCUGUAGUUAAUGGAAGCAAGUGACCUUCUUUUUACUCUGAAGCUAUCAAGGAUCUAAGGUGGAUUGAGGCUAUGAAAGAAGAAAUUCCAGCACUAGAAAACAACCAGGCUUGGUGUGUUGUAAAGUUACCUAAAGGAAAAUCAACCAUUGGUUGUAAGUGGGUAUACGGAGUUAAAUACAAAGCCAAUGGAGAAAUUCAAACAUUUAAAGCCAGGCUAGUAGCCAAAGGCUAUAUCCAAAGAAAAUGAAUAGGGUUUCAAGAAACAUUUCACCUGUGGUAAAAGUGGUAACUGUAAGAACUAUUCUAUCUUUGGCAGUAGCUAAGAAAUGACAUAUACAUUAGAUGGA